UAGGAAAAACAUAGUUACUUACGGGC
Molecule: non-coding RNA, 26 nt
Filed under: Drosophila melanogaster (fruit fly)
Lineage: Eukaryota; Metazoa; Arthropoda; Insecta; Diptera; Drosophilidae
Source: RNAcentral